RNAcentral lists this non-coding RNA (103 nucleotides) under Hylemonella gracilis. Its description in RNAcentral is "SAH sequence". It matches the Rfam family "SAH (S-adenosyl-L-homocysteine) riboswitch aptamer". The record is from RNAcentral. Lineage: Bacteria; Pseudomonadati; Pseudomonadota; Betaproteobacteria; Burkholderiales; Comamonadaceae. RNAcentral also lists the same sequence under 1 other name.
GCGUUCGAGGAGCGUUGCAGCCCUUGCGCCUGUCCCGCAGGCCCAGAGGUGAGGCUCGAACCCCAGGGCGGCAGGCCCUGCCUUCCAACUGCGCUCACCCACC